UGACCAUUCAAUCGGUGCAACGCUAUUGG
Molecule: small RNA, 29 nt
Filed under: Bombyx mori (domestic silkworm)
Lineage: Eukaryota; Metazoa; Arthropoda; Insecta; Lepidoptera; Bombycidae
Description: ovarian small RNA-8085
Source: RNAcentral